GUAGGUAAUAACUUGAGUGGUGUGGUAGCUGCUCCUGUCUGGACUGGUCUUGCUCUGUGGCUCCUUGCUUUGUCUGCAGCACUCCUGUUAUUUCCAUAAGGCAGCCUACCAGAGUCUGGCUGUACUUAUUCUACUGUUACUUAAGUAGUGCUCUCAUUUGCAAGUAGCUUGUGAUGGAUGGUCCCAGGCUCCUAUGCAAAAGCAGUGUAAUGCUAGCAGCUGCUCAUUUUUAGCUUCCCAGUAAAAAACAUUCCAAUUAAUCAAUUGAAUUACUACCAUCCAGCCCCAUGUGCUAACUUGGGAAGUACAACAAUGCCUUCUUGCUAAUCACAUAUGACAGUCUCUUGAUUUCAUUGCAAUCAAAAUGAAAUUAUAGGCUCAAGUUGGCUUCUAUACAGUCUGUUUUUGCUAAGGACAUGUGAGAAGGGUGCUUGAGCCUUGAUGGCUGAGCCCAAACUUGCUCUGCCAGGGCUUCAGAUAAUGAGGGAUAGUGCUCGGUGAGUGCUGGCUGAGGAGAAAGGGCAGCAGAAAAGCAACAGAAUGCAGUGCUGAACCUGAAUGAAAAGCAGUCGAUUGCUGUUUUAGAAGACUGUCGCUUACGGGAAGGAUCUGACAAAGUUAGAUGAGUCCAAAGUUCUCAGGGCUUCAUUUUCCUGCAUGUGGGCUCCAUCCAAAAGUGCACAGGAAAGUGGCAUUUGAGAUUGAAGUGCUAGUGGGAUAGCAAAAGGAGCUGGAGGAGAGAACAGGCUCUUAGGAGGUGUUCAGAGCCAAAGGAACUGGAAGUGAGAAAUUGCACCUUUUAAUUGCAUGUUAGCAAUUGCCAUGGUUUUUCGCUGUGCUGUUGGUGAAAUGGGAAAAGACAUGGCCAAAGUUGUUCUGGAGAGUUAGGCACAAGUGAAGACAGAAGAAAGGUAAGCAGGAGACAGCAGUGUGCUCAAAUGUUUCCUGGAAAAUGUGUGUGCAGAAAGAAGGAAGCAAGGAGACAGCAGAGGGCAGAACAAAAGACAAGCUGUGAUGCGUGAGGAGGAAACAUUUUCGGAAAAACCAACUCAUACAAGAGCUUAAAAUCCAAACGGUCCCUUCUCCUUGUGGAUGCUGAAGAGGUUGGGGUAUUUACUGAUGUUGGGGUAGAUUUCAUGGUGACAGCGUCCAUAAUUCCAUGGCAGGAGCUCUGAACUGAUUUCUCUUUCACAGCCUCAUGCACACACAAAAAAGUUGGUGUAGACCACUCCUACUUCUCUGAGGAACCAUGGAGAAGAGGGCUGUCGGUCUCUGCCAAGCUCCUGAGUCCUGCAAUCUUUGUUGUACCUGGUCUUUUUGUAGACCACAAAGGGUUGUUUUUUUCUUCUCAUAUCUGUGUAUCUCUGUGUUGCCUGGCACAACUGAGAAUCCCUGACAUACAUGGCUCCGUGUCAAAGAUUCUUUUCUGCUUCAUAUGGAAGAUGAUUCUCUGUAAGAAUAAGUGGCAAUGUACUGUAUUUGCAUCUUAUCAGCCACUUCUGACUUGAGGUUGUAAUAAUGGAACUUUUAUGAUGCAAAUUGCUACAUGGAAGGUCCAUAGAAAAUCAAUUGCUAGAUAUUUUAACAUCUUGUUUAAAAUAAAAAUUAUUUCAGAAAGUUUAUAACACUGCCAAGGAGCUACUUUUUAAUGCAG
This is a long non-coding RNA of Gallus gallus (chicken), 1654 nucleotides long. NCBI's taxonomy places the organism in Eukaryota, Metazoa, Chordata, Aves, Galliformes, Phasianidae. The record is from Ensembl.